AUACAUGACGCCAUUAUGUUUACGUAGGUGGCUAGCAAAAUAGCAAGCUGCCAACAGCUGGUAUCUUGCAAACAUAUACUAGAUAAAGUAGUACAGUUGGUAAUUGUCAGCAAAAGCAGAGUGAGUGGUUAUCUGUUGUGACUAUUUGUUUUAUGCCUAGAGUCUAGUCUUUAGCAACCUACUAACCUGGGGCAAAAUAGAACGAGUCCCAUUUCGAACACAAACAAGACAGGCGAGAGACAGUCAGCAGCUGUAGUACGCUCGCGUUAGCACGCAACCUCGACAGCAGCUGAUUAGCUAGCUACCUUUAGCAAUUUGUGCAACAUAAAAAAAAAUGUCGGACCUUGAAACCAGCGAAGAUCCAACUGUGGUGAAAAUGGAGGAGGACGGAGAGGCUAGCACCGAAGAGCAGACGCCAACUGUUGCAGAGGGCGGCCAGGCAGGAGAAUCCGAGGGAUCAAAGAUUGAUGCCAGCAAAAACGAAGAGGAUGAGGGGAAAAUGUUUGUUGGUGGUCUGAGCUGGGACACAACAAAGAAGGAUUUGAAGGAUUACUUCUCCAAGUUUGGGGAGGUGGUAGACUGCACCCUGAAGCUUGACCCCAUGACAGGCCGGUCCCGAGGGUUCGGCUUUGUUCUGUUUAAAGCAGCUAACAGCGUUGAUAAGGUGGUUUUACAGAAGGACCACAAGCUGAAUGGGAAGGUGAUCGACCCUAAGAAGGCCAAGGCCAUGAAGAACAAGGAGCCCAUCAGAAAGGUCUUUGUAGGAGGUCUUUCUCCAGACACUCCAGAGGAGAAGAUCAGAGAAUAUUUCGGUGCCUUUGGAGAGGUGGAGUCCAUUGAGCUCCCCAUGGAAACCAAAACCAACAAGAGACGAGGCUUCUGCUUCAUCACCUUCAAAGAGGAGGAGAGAGUGAAGAAGAUCAUGGAGAAAAAGUACCAUAAUAUAGGAUUAAGCAAGUGUGAGAUUAAGGUGGCCAUGUCCAAGGAGCAGUACCAGCAGCAGCACUGGGGGGGAGGAGGCAGGGGGGGAUACCCCUCCAGGCCUCCCGGCAGACAGGGACCCAAUCAGAAUUGGAACCAGGGAUAUGGCAACUACUGGAACCAAGGUUACGGCAACAACUACGGCAAUUAUGGCUACAACAACCAAGGCUACGGUGGCUAUGAUUACUCUGGUUACAACAACUAUUACGGCGGAUAUGGUGACUACAGCACAGACCAGCAGGGUGGUUAUGGGAAGUCCCCCAGGCGAGGUGGUCACCAAAACAAUUACAAGCCGUAUUGAUGUAACAUAAGUUCCACACACGCAGACAGGUAUGUUUUAUAAAUCAGCUACAACAAACCUAGAAAAAGUGCAAUGUAUCUACCUCUGUAUAAUAAUAAUAAUAAACCCUCAUAAUGUUUUUCUCUUUAUAAUUUUUCACAGCACCUGAAAAGUGCUUUACAGUAGUCUUAACAUAGAGGCUACAGUCUUUUUUUGGUGAAUUAUUUCUGCUGCCUCUUAUGAGCCAUUUUGUAACUGUAAAGUUAACAGGUAUAGUACUACUAUUACUACAGUAAAAUGGAUACCAAGAGUUAAGGAUUUACAAGGGAAAAGAGAGUGAAAGAGAGAAAAUAAUAAUGUUGUCUCCUAACUCUGACAUAUACCUUGUUUGUACCUGCCAGCGGAGCUUCCUUGCAGGCCAUGAGCUGACCUCCCCGGUACUCUCUGGCCCGCUCAAUGCGGACCGGGUACGAGAGGCGUACGCUCUCGAAUGCUGCCAUUUGGAUGGAAGAUUGAAGGAUAUCUUGUGAAGGAGCGUUGGCAGACGAAGUGACAGGUUUCAGUCAAGAGUUUCCUUUAUUAUGGACGGCUUGAGACAGGACACAGUCAGAGUAUUCAGUUGAUCUACGCACAUUGAAUUUAUGUUCAGUGUUGUAUUUCGUUGUUUCUUCUUGCAAAGCUUUUAAAAGUUUCCUAUUCGUCUUGUAUUGAGUUACACUGUGUGAAAGGAAUAUAUGCAGAAUUAUAUUUAAGAGUUGAUUAUUCACUUACGCUCAGUGUUAUCCCUUUUGUUAAAUGUGUAUAAUAUUCUAUGUAAAUUGCUUUUUGUUAAGGCAUAAAUUACCUUUAUUGAAACCCAAAUAGGAUUAGGAUACUUAAUUGUUCCCGAAGUGGAAAUUUGUCUUCGAUAAAUAAAAUUGGAUUGGUCAGGGCCAGAAAAUAAAUGAUUUAUAUUGCGGUCAAAAGCAAAUGCAAAUGGGCCCUUAAAUAAAUCUAUAUCCUUUAUCGUAGUUAUCACAAGUAAACAUUUUGUUAAUAUAUAUUUGACAUGGUACACAGAAAUAUAGAACAUUCAGAAAUCAUCAAAACAUUUAAAUAAAAAAACGUAUCUGAAAUUGAAA
This is an RNA transcript of Salvelinus fontinalis (brook trout), 2382 nucleotides long. It is a transcript of the gene named heterogeneous nuclear ribonucleoprotein D, with no coding region annotated. NCBI's taxonomy places the organism in Eukaryota, Metazoa, Chordata, Actinopteri, Salmoniformes, Salmonidae. The transcript has 8 exons. The record is from RefSeq and is a predicted model, not a curated record.